Molecule: long non-coding RNA, 4456 nt
Organism: Oryzias sinensis (Chinese medaka)
Lineage: Eukaryota; Metazoa; Chordata; Actinopteri; Beloniformes; Adrianichthyidae
Source: Ensembl
ACCAGGUGACUGUCUUGGUAAACUCUUGAGUGUGUGGGCAACUCUAAAAUUAAAAUGGAGAGGCAGGGUAUGUAAUUUUAUUGUGACAUUUCUAUUUUCCAGUUGUUAAGGCUACACAUGGUGUAGUCAGCAUUUGCUUUGGAGUACUCAUAUGUAAUAUAUUCCAGGAGGGCGUUGUGGCGGAGGCUUUGGCCCCGGAACUGGAAACAACCAAGGACAGAGCCAUGGCUUUGGCCCCGGACCUGGACCCUACCAAGGACAGAGCCAUGGCUUUGGCCCCGGACCCUACCAAGGACAGAGCCAUGGCUUUGGCCCCGGACCUGGACCCUACCAAGGACAGAGCCAUGGCUUUGGUCCCGGACCUGGACCCUACCAAGGACAGAGCCAUGGCUUUGGCCCCGGACCUGGACCCUACCAANNNNNNNNNNNNNNNNNNNNNNNNNNNNNNNNNNNNNNNNNNNNNNNNNNNNNNNNNNNNNNNNNNNNNNNNNNNNNNNNNNNNNNNNNNNNNNNNNNNNGGUCAUGGUCAUGGUCAUGGACAUGGGCACGGGCGCAGGUGCAAGCACAAGCAGGGUCACAAGCAUAAAGGAUGCCACAAGAAGGGCAAGGAUUGUCACGGGUCUUCCAGUAGUUCCUGCAGCAGUGACUCUGACUAGACUUCUGGAAACCAUCCUUCUUUAAAAGACACGUGUAACAAACAACGAGACUCUUUCUGGUUUGAGCAUCAAGUUUGACUAUCCUGAUAUAUCCUGAUUGCAUUUAACUCAAUUGCAUCUGGCUUCUGCUGCUUUUUCUGGAUUUAUACUGAGUCAUAAAAUAAAUGUUGAAAUAUAACAAUGACUGGUGCAAUGCUGUUUUUAUUUUUUUUGAAUGACACAUGACACUUUAGAUUACACUCCCUUCUCGUUGACUACAUUGUGGCAUUAUAAACAUGUCUGUUAAGACUUGUGCAUGAAACCUAAAAACUUGAUAAAACUGUGCCAUUUUGCUGUCUAGAAAGACAACUGAAAUGCAGAAUUUAUAGACUGAAGAUUUCUAUUGAAAACUGCAAUGAGAGGACAGAGGUUAACAGACAGUUUUAAUGUUUGGGGUUUGAAAGUAUGGCCAACGGAAUGUGUCUCAACAAUGUAAGAUAUUCCCAACCACAAUGUGGGUGUACUUGUUUUUGACGCCUUACCUUUCCUGGAACACGGGCCACUUUUAUUAUGAAAAGCUGCACAAAUGGGUUCAAAGACCAUUCUAAUCAUGAAUAAAAAGCAGCGUCUGUACACUGCAAAACCUGAACAUUAAAAAAGCAAAACGCUCCCUUUUUCAAGAAAAUGUGUCUUAUGUUGUGUCUUGCAAAAAAAUAAUCUUAUUGAGAAAGUUUUUAAUUGCAAAAUAUUCUUAGUUUGAAAAAGCAUGUCUUAAAAAAUAGAUUUUUUUCCCUCAAAAUAAAAAUUCUUGGUAUGACAAUUUUUCUUACUCUAUUGGCAUUUUUCUUUUUUACUAAAAUUUGCCAGUAAGGUUAGAAUGUUUUACCUUUUUUGAGAGACCUGUUUUCUGUUUUUGCAGUGUAUUACUGCUUAUAUUAAGGACUGAUGUGAGAAAAACAAUAUUAAAGUCAAUGUUAAAUGUGAAGUGAUAAGCUUUAAGUUUAGGCACGUACAUGUACUGAUCUUCUAAUAUGUGAGAAGUACAAACUCUUUGUCAAUUGUGUGCAAAUUGCAUCAUGCUUAGUGCAGUUCCUGCAUUUCACAAUUUAAUUUAAUGACAAAGUAAGACAUUUUCCAUGCCUGUUUUAAUUUGCUCUUAAGAUUUGUAUUACUCUGUUUGCUUCUGUUUGAUAUUGAUGUAUGAGACAGGUUAUAGACCUUUGUGCCCCGGUGUUUUUCAGGUACACACCCUAACAUUCCGUGUAAGGCACACUUGACAUCAGUGAUUGUAGCUUUAGCCAAAAUCUACUCCCAUAACAUUCGUAUACAUUAUGAAUCGUUUUUUUCCCUUUUGUGGAAUGAAAUGGAACAUUUCAAAAUAAUCUCAGCAAGACCUCUGAUGUCUUCAUUUUGCUUUUAAUUGAUUUCUUGGUCCAUGUUGCAGCUUUGUACUUGAGUGUGUAUGAAUGGUGUUGACUUUAAAAACAUAAAGCUCAGUCAGACAAAGGUCAUCAAGGGUGUUAGCUGCUGCAUGUAGGAAAACAAGCCUAGUUUUUUAACUGACAUACUUGUUUUAAUGCUGCAAAUGAAUAAACUACUAAGGCGAAAAAAUAAAGGGUGCACGUUUUUUGCAAAGCCUGUCAUUGGAUAUAUUGAAAAAAGGAAGGAAAAAGAAAGAAAAGUGGGUCAUUGGUCUGACCAAGUUGUAAAAUUGUCACGUGUGUGCAGGUCUGUACAAAAGGCUAUUUGUAAUCUAUAUUGAGAUGUUAAUAUUUAAACAUGCUGAUGUGUGAGGGUCAUAAAGCAGAAAUGUUUGGUUGGUAAUAAAUGCGUUGCCCCUUCACAGCUUUCCAUAAAAAGGGGAAGCUGGUCACAGCUAGCAGAUGAGCUGCCUUUCAACACGGUAAACUUAUCUCUUUCUAUGUUGAACCUUUGCUAAAUUUCUAUUCUUUUAUUGAAAGUUCUUUACACUGUUUAUUUAGAACUUUAUUGUGUCACUCUUUUGUCAGUUGUUGUAUUUAAAAAAUGUCUUUGUUGUUUGAUUUUUUUUAAAGAAAUUAUGUUUUCUUUCAGAAUCUACAGUUAGUUGUGAGGUUUCAGAAUGUACGGUCACAACCAAGGUAAAAACCUUUACUAAAAUAUGGGAGUGAAUAGUCAUGAAGUUAUGAUUUAAAAAACAUUUUAGAUAACUCAUUUUUCCCUUCUCAUUAUGCUAAGGAAACCAGUGUCCAGGUGGCUACCCUGCCAACCCUCAGGUGCCUGGGGGCUACCCCAACAAUCCUCAGAUGUACCCUCCACCUCAGUCAAACUGCCCUCCCAUUCACGGAAACCCUGCAUUUCCCCCUGCUGCACCUGGUCAUGGUCAUGGGCAAUGCCACGGACAUGGUCAUGGCCACGGACAUGAUCAUGGCCACGGACAUGGGCACUCACAUGGCCAUGAACAAUGCCAUGGACACGGACACAAGCAUAAGAAAAAGGACAAGGACAAGGACAAGCACAAACACAAAAAUGGACACAAACAUGGCAAGUGUCACAAGAAAGGAAAAGACACCCAUGGGGUAAGAAUCUAUUUCAAGAGCUUUUGAAUUAUAUGUAAACAUAUCUAAAAAAAAAAUCACAUGUAAAUUUAAAACUCUUGCAUGCAAAUGAAGUCUGAUGCAAAAUACAACCAAAUGUAAAAGAAAGUAUUCAAUGUUUUAAAUAGAUUCUGAACAUCUUGGGGUACAGCAAUGAAAAAUAACUUGAUAUUCCUAGUGUUCCAUUGCAUUUUGACUACCUUUACGUACAGUGAUUUAUCAGCCAAUAUUGUGUUUUGGUUUCAUCCCUCUCUUAUAGUCUUCCAGCAGCUCCUGCAGCAGCAGUGAUUCUGACUAGACUCUCGGACUGAACAGAAGAGGACCAAUGAUGACCAAAAACCCUGGAACCUCUACUGCUCGACAUACUCAACAUAAUGAGCAAAAGUUAUCAUGUUGAUUCUAAAUGCUGAAAAAAUCAGUCAGUUUGUAGUUUUCAAGUCAUGUGAAAAAUAAAAAAUGUUAAUUUUUUAACAACAUAGCAGACAGGACCUUUUCUGAAAACUGACAUACUGAUGUAGAACAAUAAAUAUGUUAUAUAUUGUAUUUUUGAAAUUUCCUCCAUAACUUUAAAAAAAAUAAUAAAAGUGAUUCAUCUGUUCUACAAGAAAAUAGUCUUUUCAUUUGUUUAUUCGGCUUUUCAGUUGCCCAAGUGAGGCUGGCUGAUGUUUGUGUUCCUCCUCUCUGACUUUGGCACACCCUGCUGGCUUUAUUGUUCUUAUCUUCCUUUGGUGGCUUAUGCAGUUAAAAUAUGCUUACAAAUCACUAUGUACAAUAUUUUAUUAUUGCACUGUAAGGGUUUGAUAUUUGCAUAGACUAAUAGAAAUCAGCUAACAAGAUUAAGAAGUAUCUACGAGACUAGUCUGCAUCGUAAGUUGUUUUAAAAUCAAAGCCUGUUGCAUAUUAAAAUAACAACAGAACAUAUUUUUUAAAGAUUGUAAAUUUCGUGUUUUGGUAGUUACAGUCAAAAAAUUUAAGAAGCCAAGUUUUUAAAAAUUACAUUUUCUUCUUUUUACGAUUGGAUCAACGGUUAAAUUAUUUUAGGACAUGGUACUCCCUAAUGGGCCUAUAGGGGGCAGUGUGCGUAAAACUCACAAUGGACGUACAGAUCUCCGGUUCCUCUGUGGUGAGUGCGGUCACCCUACGUCAUCAUGUUCUACCAAUCAGCGAAAGAUUCUGACUCCUGCAGGAAGGAGGCGUAAAAACAAAGUAAAGAGAAAAGUACGCUGUGCAAAGUAUCGCUUGCGU